RNAcentral lists this small nucleolar RNA (127 nucleotides) under Myotis davidii. RNAcentral describes it as "Small nucleolar RNA SNORA42/SNORA80 family". It matches the Rfam family "Small nucleolar RNA SNORA42/SNORA80 family". From Rfam's summary of the family: The members of this family belong to the H/ACA class of snoRNAs that guide the sites of modification of uridines to pseudouridines. Human ACA42 (SNORA42) was cloned from HeLa cells by immunoprecipitation with anti-GAR1 antibody. Lineage: Eukaryota; Metazoa; Chordata; Mammalia; Chiroptera; Vespertilionidae. The record is from Rfam by way of RNAcentral.
GCAAUUUAGGGCAUGUCCGUCCCCCUGGGCCUCUCAUAGUGCCCCAUGCCAGAGCAAACUGUGACCUUGAACUAUUGCCUGGCCUCAGCCCAUAGGCAGCAGGCACUGAAAAGUGGGUUACCCAGUG